AGAGAGAGAGAGAGAGAGAGAGAUCAGUCGGCCAAUUUCAAAUGGUUGCUGUCACACACUCUUCGCUCUGACGCGACAAUCCGUGCGCUUUCCUCGCGCGCACAACGGACACAGGUUCAGCACCACACUGAGGUGGACAGCAUGCUAACGGACAGACCCGAGAACAGAGCACGCGUCUCUCCUAUAGAGACAGACAGAGCUUCCCCCUGUAGAGUAAGUGCAUAAGGAGGAGAAAGUAUUUACAGGCACCGGGUGGAUCCCUGCCUUUCAAGGAGACAGCAUGGCCAGGAGAGUUCUCCUUAAAAUCUUACUCUCAACAAUUCGAUAAUAUCGAGAGGGAUUUCGGAAAAGUGCCAACGCAGGAUUCGGACGGCUUGUCUGUGAUUUGCUUUAUAGCCUAGGAUUUAGAUAAGUUACUCGGGGGAAUGGAGAAGCCGGUCCAGUCUCAGCUGCAGUCCAAAAGCGCAGAAGGUCCGUCAGAGGAUCUUUGCAAACUUACGGAUGAUGAGCUUAUGAAAUGGAGCAAGGAGGAGCUGGUACGCCGGCUGCGAAGAGCCGAAGCCGAGAAAAUGAGCGCUAUAGUGGACCACAGCAAUCUCAUCCGAGAGGUGAACCGCAGGCUUCAGCAGCACCUGAACGAGAUCCGAGGGCUGAAGGAGGUGAAUCAGAAGCUGCAAGAAGACAACCAGGAGCUGAGGGAUCUCUGCUGCUUUCUGGAUGACGAUCGACAGAAAGGGAAAAAGGUGUCGAGGGAGUGGCAGCGGCUGGGCCGUUACAGCGCAGGAAUCAUGCGUAAGGAAGUCACAUUGUACCUGCAGAAGCUGAAGGAGUUGGAGCAGCGGCAGGAGGAGGUGGUGAAGGAGAACCUGGAACUGAGGGAGUUGUGCCUCAUGCUGGAUGAGGAGAAGGGCUCUGGAAGUACUGUUGGGUCAGCGGGUACCGGGGGUCCAGCCGGCUGCAGGAAUUCAAUCGAUAGCCAGAGCAGCCUGUCUCACGCCAGUGGUCCUGGGCCUGGACUCCUUAGAGAUGUGGGUGAUGGGAGCAGUACCUCCAGCGCGGGCAGCACUGACAGCCCUGACCAUCUCACUCAUAAGCAGCAGCUGUUGGGCGGCCCCACUGGAGGUAGUCCUGACCACCUGCAUAAGCCAGGCUCUGGGGAGGAGGCACAAAGUUCUGAGCACGUAGGCCGCAGACAUAGCACCAGCCAGGAGUACACAGCGCAUACUUUUCCCCAGGUGUGCCGCUCUCGCUGUGGGUCCUUCUCCAGUCCAGACCACAGGGGCCUGAGGGGGCUCAGUCCCGAGAAACUUGGAAAGAAUCUUUCCAGAGGCAGCCCAGAGCAGUUCUCGAAACACCUGCUGGUGUCUUCUCAGCCGUCUGGCAAUUCUGACCUUUACCGAAAGCACCGGGGAAGCAUUGGUAGUGUGUGCGGGAGUCCGGAGCCCAAACAGAUUCUAUCAGGGACACCAGAACACCUCCAGAAGGGCCGUGUCAUUUCUGGGAGCCCCGAGAUGUUACGGCACUCCUACGGUGCCAGCCACGAGCACGGGAAAUUUGGCAGCCCUGGCCGAGAGGUGGCACAGAAGAGGCCGGGCGGAGAAGAGAUGUCCCCUCAUCAUCGGAACAUCUAUAGCGGUAUGAAUGGUGGGUCCGACUGGAGCCUGCUCUAGCACCCACAGUGAAAUACAUGGAGUUCCCAUUGAACACACCACAUGCCGUCCUUAAUCACAGAGGGUGCAUCAUUGCCAGCAAGGCAAUUCUCAGCCAGGCACUAAACCAUGCCAUUAAGCCAUCUAUGAUCUGCAUUUAGUUUAGUUUGUCUUUGCUCAGUUCAGGAGAGUCAAUGAGAAGAUCUAGUUUUAGUUUCUGGCUAGAGCAGAACAUCACAUCUCUGGUAAAGGUCGGUGGUGUCCAGUCUUGGUACUCUUGGGUUAUAAUUUUUGGCAGGCUUUAGCUGCCUCCUAUCAAUCAUCCUGUGCCUCUGAAGUCAUUUUUAUGCUCUGGAACCCAGCUGAGGGGACACUGUAAUGAAUCAAAGACCAAAAUGCCCAGCAAAAGCCAGAAGACAGUGUUUCCCACCAGGACCAGGAGUGGACACCAUUGUAUUUACCAUAUGCACCAAGCUCUGAUAUCGGCUGGCUGUUGCACCGGCUCCUGCAGAAGUGUCAAGCUUUGGGACAGUUUUGAUGCCUCUUGACCAUUGCCUUGACUGGAUCCAGUGGUGGGAACCAGGUCAUGAGAGAUGAUCAUUGUGAUUUCAUAUCACAUGCACAGACAAAAAGUUGGAAAAGGAAAACUGCAGUAGCCGGCAUUACCCACCCAUCGUGACGGUUUCUGGUCUUCUAAUACAACUUACAGCCCUGCACAACAAAAGAAGGAGAUCAAACAGCUGAAAAUAAGAUUGCCAAAAGGAUUUCUCUAAUCGAUAUAAAGAUCGCUCUUUUGCCAACAAAAUAGACCUACCUCCUUCAUACAAAAACAGAUGAAACGGUACUGAGAGGCUAGUGCCCAUUUUGUUUACAGUUGCCACAAAAACACAAACAAUCAAAUGACACUUUUGCACAUACAGGCAAAGAUUUAUUAUCAGAUUGGUCUCAUGCACCUUAGGCUUUGUUCAGACAGGCAGAAAAAAUCUGAUACUUCAUGUAUCUGACAUAUAUCUGUUUAGAUUUGUGUAGUUUGUUCAGCAAAAAAGCACAGAAAAUCAUAUAUUCCAAAACGCAUCCAUAGGAGGUCUAUAAACCAUUUAAAAUGAUUUUUUUCAGCUUGACAGUUAGAUAUCAAGUAGUGUUUCAUCAUUUAAGACACGGUCGCCUAGACAAGUUUUCUGUCCUCUUUUUACCACAGCUGCUCUUGUUGCACAAGAAAGUCCCUUUGGCAUCGUGCUGACGCUAAUAUCAUUUCCAUAGCAACCGAUGUAGAAGAUCGCAUUUGAAACCCAAGUGGGAUUUACUGUAUAUGCUGUG
Misgurnus anguillicaudatus (oriental weatherfish) is the source of this 2966-nucleotide RNA transcript. It is a transcript of the gene named coiled-coil domain containing 85A, with no coding region annotated. The record is from RefSeq and is a predicted model, not a curated record. Lineage: Eukaryota; Metazoa; Chordata; Actinopteri; Cypriniformes; Cobitidae.